This 380-nucleotide long non-coding RNA is filed under the name Lactuca sativa (garden lettuce). RNAcentral's name for it is "long non-coding RNA (LSAT_LNC005510)". Lineage: Eukaryota; Viridiplantae; Streptophyta; Magnoliopsida; Asterales; Asteraceae. The record is from RNAcentral.
CUAUCCCAAACUAGAUAUAAGAUUGAUUGAUAAAACCAUGGGAUCACUAUCCCGAACUAGAUAUAAGAUAAUUAGAUAAGUCAUGGAAUUAUCAUCCCGUACUAGAUAUAGUUUCAAAACCAUGGGAUUACCAUCCCAUACAAGAUAUAGAUUGAAAUCAUGGGACNAGAUAUAGAUGAAAUCAUGGGACUAUCAUCCCGUACUAGAUAUAUGACAUAUACAUACUGAAAACCAUGGGAAUAGCAUCCCGCACUAGAUACAAGUUCGAUAGACUGAAAAUCAUGGGACUACCAUCCCGGACUAGAUAUAAAUUCUAAAACCAAAGCUGUGAAUAAACUUAUACAUAUUGUGAGUCGGGUAACCGUGCUGAUACGACAACG